AGGGCAGACGGUGGAUGCCUUGGCUCUCGGAGGCGACGAAGGACGUGAUAAGCUGCGAAAAGCCCGGGGGAGGCGCAAAUAGCCGUUGAUCCCGGGAUAUCCGAAUGGGGCAACCCGGCAGGUUGAAGGCCUGUCAUCCCGAAAGGGAGGCGAACGUGGGGAACUGAAACAUCUAAGUACCCAUAGGAGGAGAAAAUAAACAAUGAUUCCGUAAGUAGUGGCGAGCGAACACGGAAGAGCCCAAACCCGUGCCGUCUAGGCGACACGGGGGUUGUAGGACCACGACGUGGCAAGAAGGAAGGGAAAUGGAACGACUUGGAAAAGUCGGCCAUAGACGGUGAAAGCCCGGUACAUGACUCCCUUACGAAGCCUAGUGGUAUCCUGAGUAGCGCGGGGCACGAGAAAUCUUGCGUGAAUUAGCGGGGCCCAUCCCGUAAGGCUAAAUACUCCCGAGAGACCGAUAGCGAACCAGUACCGUGAGGGAAAGGUGAAAAGAACCCCGAGCAGGGGAGUGAAAUAGACCCUGAACCCGUCUGCCUACAAGCGGUCGGAGCGUCGUAAUGACGUGACGGCGUGCCUUUUGCAUAAUGAACCUACGAGUUACCUUCCCCGGCAAGGUUAAGUACCUAAGGUACGGAGCCGAAGCGAAAGCGAGUCUGAACAGGGCGCCAAGUCGGGGGGGGUAGACGCGAAACCGAGUGAUCUACCCUUGGCCAGGUUGAAGGUUGGGUAACACCAACUGGAGGACCGGAUGGGUAAGCGUUGAAAAGCUUUCCAAUGAGCUGAGGGUAGGGGUGAAAGGCUAAUCAAACUCGGAGAUAGCUCGUACUCCCCGAAAUGCAUUUAGGUGCAGCCUCUUUAUAGUAUAUCGUGAGGUAGAGCGACUGAUUGGAUGCGAGGGCUUCACCGCCUAUCAAGUCCAGAUAAACUCCGAAUGCGCGAUAUAUAUUUACAGGGAGUGAGGGCGCGGGUGCUAAGGUCCGUGUCCGAGAGGAGAAGAAUCCAGACUACCGGCUAAGGCCCCCAAAUGAUCGUUAAGUUGAACUAACGAGGUCGGAUCGCAGAGACAGCUAGGAUGUUGGCUUGGAAGCAGCCAUUCAUUUAAAGAGUGCGUAACAGCUCACUAGUCGAGCGAUCUGGCGUGGAUAAUAAUCGGGCAUAAACGAUCUGCCGAAGCCGUGGAUGUCGCAAGACAUGGUAGGGGAGCAUUCCAUGCGGCGUCGAAGAUGAGGGAUGACCCUUGUUGGAGCGCAUGGAAAAGCAAAUGUAGGUAUGAGUAACGAUAAGGGGGGCGAGAAACCCCCCCGCCGAAAGACCAAGGUUUCCUGAUCAACGCUAAUCGGAUCAGGGUGAGUCGGGACCUAAGGCAAAGCCGAACGGCGCCGCCGAUGGAAGAAUGGGUUAAUAUUCCCAUACUGCCUCAUGGAGUGACGUGGAGACGGAGAAGUGACAGUCCUGCCGGCUGACGGAAUAGCCGGUUGAAGGGUGUAGAUAUUGAUUCCCGUAGGCAAAUCCGCGGGGAGAGUCGAACCUGAGAGUAUACGGAGCGCUUGCGCGACGUAAUAUGGACGUAACCAUGCUCCCGAGAAAAUCCGCUAAACUUAUCCAUGCGGCACCCGUACCGUAAACGGACACACGUGGUCGGGUUGAGAAUACUGAGGCGCUCGAGUGAUUCACGGUUAAGGAACUAGGCAAAUUGACCCUGUAACUUCGGGAUAAAGGGUCCUCGUCGUAAGGCGAGGCGCAGAGAAUAGGUCCAGGCAACUGUUUAACAAAAACACAUGGCUGUGCUAAAUGGAAACAUGACGUAUACAGCCUGACACCUGCCCGGUGCCGGAAGGUUAAGAGGAGAUGUCACUCGCAAGAGGAAGCAUUGAAUUGAAGCCCCGGUAAACGGCGGCCGUAACUAUAACGGUCCUAAGGUAGCGAAAUUCCUUGUCGGGUAAGUUCCGACCUGCACGAAUGGUGUAAUGAUCUGGACACUGUCUCAACCGUGAGCUCGGUGAAAUUGUAGUAUCGGUGAAGAUGCCGAUUACCCGCGAUGGGACGAAAAGACCCCGUGAACCUUUACUAUAGCUUAACAUUGAAUUUGGGUAAUUGAUGUGUAGGAUAGGCCGGAGGCUUUGAAGCAGGUACGCCAGUAUUUGUGGAGCCGCUGUUGAAAUACGGCCCUUUGAUUAUUUGAGUUCUAACCCGCGGCUGCGGGGACACUGUUUGGUGGGUAGUUUGACUGGGGUGGUCGCCUCCAAAAGCGUAACGGAGGCUUCUAAAGGUGCCCUCAGACCGAUUGGUAACCGGUCGCAGAGUGUAAUGGCAUAAGGGCGCUUGACUGGGAGACAUACAAGUCGAUCAGGUAGGAAACUAGAGCAUAGUGAUCCGGUGGUUCCGCAUGGAAGGGCCAUCGCUCAAAGGAUAAAAGGUACUCCGGGGAUAACAGGCUGAUCCCUCCCAAGAGCUCAUAUCGACGGAGUGGUUUGGCACCUCGAUGUCGGCUCGUCACAUCCUGGGGCUGGAGAAGGUCCCAAGGGUUGGGCUGUUCGCCCAUUAAAGUGGCACGCGAGCUGGGUUCAGAACGUCGUGAGACAGUUCGGUCUCUAUCUAUCGUGGGCGCAGGAGAUUUGAGGGGCUCUGACACUAGUACGAGAGGACCGUGUCGGACGUACCACUGGUUUACCGGUUGUCCCGCCAGGGGCACCGCCGGGUAUCUAAGUACGGAUCGGAUAAGUGCUGAAAGCAUCUAAGUACGAAGCCGGCCUCAAGAUUAGAUCUCCCUCAAGGGUGGUUAUAGACGAUGACCUUGAUAGGCCACAGGUGUAAGGGCGGCGACGUCCGAGCCGAGUGGUACUAAUAGCCCGGGACUUUCCUCA
RNAcentral lists this ribosomal RNA (2867 nucleotides) under human gut metagenome. RNAcentral's name for it is "bacterial LSU rRNA". It matches the Rfam family "Bacterial large subunit ribosomal RNA". The record is from RNAcentral.